GAAAUGCGAUAAGUAGUGUGAAUUGCAGAAUUCAGUGAAUCAUCGAAUCUCUGAACGCACAUUGCGCCCCUUGGUAUUCCAUGGGGCAUGCAUGUUCGAGCGUCAUUUGUACCCUCAAGCUCUGCUUGGUGUUGGGUGUUUGUCCCGUCUCCGCGCGUGGACUCGCCCCAAAGUGAUUGGCAGCCGGCGUACUGGUCCCGGAGCGCAGCACAUGUCGCGCAAACGAGUGCCUUGGUACGGCGGCGUCCAUAAGCCCCUCUCUCACGCUCUUGACCUCGGAUCAGGUAGGGAUACCCGCUGAACUUAAGC
This 309-nucleotide unclassified non-coding RNA is filed under the name plant metagenome. RNAcentral's name for it is "partial contains 5.8S ribosomal RNA, internal transcribed spacer 2, and large subunit ribosomal RNA". The stretch from base 1 to 105 matches the Rfam family "5.8S ribosomal RNA", at positions 50 to 154 of the family's 154-position model. The record is from RNAcentral.